GCCUACGGGGGGCAGCAGUGGGGAAUAUUGGGCAAUGGGCGCAAGCCUGACCCAGCAACGCCGCGUGAAGGAUGAAGGUUUUCGGAUUGUAAACUUCUGUCGCGAGGGACGAAGAAUGACGGUACCUCGUAAGAAAGCCCCGGCUAACUACGUGCCAGCAGCCGCGGUAAUACGUAGGGGGCAAGCGUUGUCCGGAAUGACUGGGCGUAAAGGGAGUGUAGGCGGCCUUGUAAGUUAGAUGUGAAAUCCUACGGCUUAACCGUAGAACUGCAUCUAAAACUGUGAGGCUGGAGUGCAGGAGAGGG
RNAcentral lists this ribosomal RNA (305 nucleotides) under uncultured bacterium. Its description in RNAcentral is "bacterial SSU rRNA". It matches the Rfam family "Bacterial small subunit ribosomal RNA", at positions 337 to 658 of the family's 1533-position model. The record is from RNAcentral.